GAGUUUGAUCCUGGCUCAGAUUGAACGCUGGCGGCAUGCCUUACACAUGCAAGUCGAACGGCAGCACGGGAGCUUGCUCCUGGUGGCGAGUGGCGAACGGGUGAGUAAUGCAUCGGAACGUAUCCUGGAGUGGGGGAUAACGUAGCGAAAGUUACGCUAAUACCGCAUAUUCUGUGAGCAGGAAAGCGGGGGGACCUUCGGGCCUCGCGCUCUUGGAGCGGCCGAUGUCGGAUUAGCUAGUUGGUGAGGUAAAGGCUCACCAAGGCGACGAUCCGUAGCAGGUCUGAGAGGAUGAUCUGCCACACUGGAACUGAGACACGGUCCAGACUCCUACGGGAGGCAGCAGUGGGGAAUUUUGGACAAUGGGGGCAACCCUGAUCCAGCCAUGCCGCGUGAGUGAAGAAGGCCUCGG
This 412-nucleotide ribosomal RNA is filed under the name bacterium enrichment culture clone ALO1_GLFRUDD03F5NXY. RNAcentral's name for it is "bacterial SSU rRNA". It matches the Rfam family "Bacterial small subunit ribosomal RNA", at positions 9 to 420 of the family's 1533-position model. RNAcentral also lists the same sequence under 2 other names. The record is from RNAcentral.